CCACCCCCUACGGACCUUCCAUUGGUGAAUCAUAUCGUCCGUAGCGUUGUUAACGAUCCAGUUAGACGUGAAUUCAAGGUUACUGCUCAGAUGAAAGCACCAUCGAAAUGGGCGGACCCGAUAAGUUUGUAUUCAGACAGGUGCACAUCAGACAGGGUGGUUGGAGACGCAGAGAGUAGGAUCAUCAGCGAGACACCUCAACCAAGACCCAUAUCAAAACGUGCGUACAAAGUGCGUGUAUGGGGAGGCAUUUCCAAAAGAAGGGCAACGACGCUAGCCAUUUUCACGGGCAUCAUGGAUGCAAAGACCCACGUGCAAAUCCUGAAGGAAAAUUUGCUACCAUUUUUGAAAAAACAAUUCCCUCUUUAUCAAAACAACGACCUAAGCAUACUAACAAACUGACAAAAGAAUUUAUUGUAUCACACAACAUUAACUGGCCCCCCUCCCCCCCCAAAAUAAAGUCCUCAUUAAAAACCCCUAGAAAACCUGUGGUCAAAACUUGAAUAUCAUUUGCGUAAAUAGGCCUACGUCAGACCAUCCAUUAAAACGAAUUAGUAAAAAGACAUUCACCAGUUUUGGAAAACGGUGGACAUCGCAAAAUGCAUUCAAUACAUUGACCACAUACACAAAGUAUACCCACGUGUAAUUUAAGUUAACGGCAACGUCUCUGCUUAUUUUAAUAUUAAAUUAUGGACUAAGUAGCAUUAUAAAAUGUUCAGUUCUGGAUGACAGUCCAGGUCUACUCUUUUAUUCUUCCAAUCCCUCCAUUCAUUUCGACACAUUCAACAAGCAAAUUUCGCCGUUAAGAUUCAACCAGAUACAAGGGACGUCGUCUCAGGAUUGGAGCAGCCUUUUUAGCAUUGCAUUCGGCGCAUCGGACGAUUGAACUGGCAGGCCCGUAGCCAACAAUUUCAG
Lingula anatina is the source of this 915-nucleotide long non-coding RNA. Lineage: Eukaryota; Metazoa; Brachiopoda; Lingulata; Lingulida; Lingulidae. The record is from RefSeq and is a predicted model, not a curated record.